Molecule: ribosomal RNA, 347 nt
Filed under: Theileria velifera
Lineage: Eukaryota; Apicomplexa; Aconoidasida; Piroplasmida; Theileriidae
Description: SSU rRNA
Rfam family: Eukaryotic small subunit ribosomal RNA
Source: RNAcentral
UCUUGUAUUGCGUUGAUGUGGUACUUUAAACCUCUUCCAGAGUAUCAAUUGGAGGGCAAGUCUGGUGCCAGCAGCCGCGGUAAUUCCAGCUCCAAUAGCGUAUAUUAAAAUUGUUGCAGUUAAAAAGCUCGUAGUUGAAUUUCUGCUACAUUGCCUAUUCUCCUUUACGAGUUUGGGUCUUUUGUGGCUUAUCUGGGUUCGCUUGCGUUCCCGGUGUUUUACUUUGAGAAAAUUAGAGUGCUCAAAGCAGGCUUUUGCCUUGAAUAGUUUAGCAUGGAAUAAUAAAGUAGGACUUUGGUUCUAUUUUGUUGGUUUUAGGUACCAAAGUAAUGGUUAAUAGGAACAGU